GUCCCGGUUUAAGCGUGUAGGUGUGUGUUCCAGGUAAAUCCGGUUCACUUUAACACUGAGGCGUGACGACGAGGCACUACGGUGCUGAAGCAACAAAUGCCCUGCUUCCAGGAAAAGCCUCUAAGCAUCAGGUAACAUCAAAUCGUACCCCAAACCGACACAGGUGGUCAGGUAGAGAAUACCAAGGCGCUUGAGAGAACUCGGGUGAAGGAACUAGGCAAAAUGGUGCCGUAACUUCGGGAGAAGGCACGCUGACACGUAGGUGAAGUGAUUUACUCACGGAGCUGAAGUCAGUCGAAGAUACCAGCUGGCUGCAACUGUUUAUUAAAAACACAGCACUGUGCAAACACGAAAGUGGACGUAUACGGUGUGACGCCUGCCCGGUGCCGGAAGGUUAAUUGAUGGGGUCAGCGCAAGCGAAGCUCCUGAUCGAAGCCCCGGUAAACGGCGGCCGUAACUAUAACGGUCCUAAGGUAGCGAAAUUCCUUGUCGGGUAAGUUCCGACCUGCACGAAUGGCGUAAUGAUGGCCAGGCUGUCUCCACCCGAGACUCAGUGAAAUUGAACUCGCUGUGAAGAUGCAGUGUACCCGCGGCAAGACGGAAAGACCCCGUGAACCUUUACUAUAGCUUGACACUGAACAUUGAGCCUUGAUGUGUAGGAUAGGUGGGAGGCUUUGAAGUGUGGACGCCAGUCUGCAUGGAGCCGACCUUGAAAUACCACCCUUUAAUGUUUGAUGUUCUAACGUGGACCCGUAAUCCGGGUUGCGGACAGUGUCUGGUGGGUAGUUUGACUGGGGCGGUCUCCUCCUAAAGAGUAACGGAGGAGCACGAAGGUUGGCUAAUCCUGGUCGGACAUCAGGAGGUUAGUGCAAUGGCAUAAGCCAGCUUGACUGCGAGCGUGACGGCGCGAGCAGGUGCGAAAGCAGGUCAUAGUGAUCCGGUGGUUCUGAAUGGAAGGGCCAUCGCUCAACGGAUAAAAGGUACUCCGGGGAUAACAGGCUGAUACCGCCCAAGAGUUCAUAUCGACGGCGGUGUUUGGCACCUCGAUGUCGGCUCAUCACAUCCUGGGGCUGAAGUAGGUCCCAAGGGUAUGGCUGUUCGCCAUUUAAAGUGGUACGCGAGCUGGGUUUAGAACGUCGUGAGACAGUUCGGUCCCUAUCUGCCGUGGGCGCUGGAGAACUGAGGGGGGCUGCUCCUAGUACGAGAGGACCGGAGUGGACGCAUCACUGGUGUUCGGGUUGUCAUGCCAAUGGCACUGCCCGGUAGCUAAAUGCGGAAGAGAUAAGUGCUGAAAGCAUCUAAGCACGAAACUUGCCCCGAGAUGAGUUCUCCCUGAGACUUUAGGUCUCCUGAAGGAACGUUGAAGACGACGACGUUGAUAGGCCGGGUGUGUAAGCGCAGCGAUGCGUUGAGCUAACCGGUACUAAUGAACCGUGAGGCUUAACCUUACAACGCCGAA
RNAcentral lists this ribosomal RNA (1459 nucleotides) under Salmonella enterica subsp. enterica serovar Uppsala. Its description in RNAcentral is "partial 23S ribosomal RNA". It matches the Rfam family "Bacterial large subunit ribosomal RNA", at positions 1504 to 2925 of the family's 2925-position model. The record is from RNAcentral. Lineage: Bacteria; Pseudomonadati; Pseudomonadota; Gammaproteobacteria; Enterobacterales; Enterobacteriaceae.